UACGGGGGGAGCAAGCGUUGUUCGGAUUUACUGGGCGUAAAGGGCGCGUAGGCGGUCGUGACAAGUCACUUGUGAAAUCUCCGGGCUUAACUCGGAACGGUCAAGUGAUACUGUCGGACUAGAGUACAGAAGGGGCAACUGGAAUUCUCGGUGUAGCGGUGAAAUGCAUAGAUAUCGAGAGGAACACCUGCGGCGAAGGCGGGUUGCUGGGCUGAUACUGACGCUGAGGCGCGAAAGCCAGGGGAGCGAACGGG
This 254-nucleotide ribosomal RNA is filed under the name uncultured bacterium. RNAcentral's name for it is "partial 16S ribosomal RNA". It matches the Rfam family "Bacterial small subunit ribosomal RNA", at positions 524 to 776 of the family's 1533-position model. The record is from RNAcentral.